Molecule: long non-coding RNA, 922 nt
Filed under: Sus scrofa (pig)
Lineage: Eukaryota; Metazoa; Chordata; Mammalia; Artiodactyla; Suidae
Description: lncRNA (ENSSSCG00025060345.1)
Source: RNAcentral
GGCUGCGCAGCCUCCGGACGCGCCCUUCCUGGAGGGCUCGGCUCCUGCGCGCCAAAACUUUCCGGAGGGGACGACCCCGGUGCACCCGACUUCUGGAGAGGUCGGAUCUGGGCACCACCUCCUUCUGAAGAGGAAUCCUUGACCGUUUGACCCUCAGGACCAGAGCUGAAGUUCAGACAGCGGUCGUGGAUUUCGUUCAUCCGACUUUAGUGAAGAGAUUUUGUGGCUCUGCGUGCUCCUGUGGGGUGCAUAGUUCAAGUCCCUUAAACACAUGCUGCUACUUACCUGCCACCCCAGGCGGAGGCUUUUCAAAGAGGCUUUUCACUGAUUCCCAGUCAGCCCGUACAGUGGAGUGGUUUAGAGGCGAGACGCUGGGCUCACCUCCACCGCUUCCCAUCCUGACCUGUGGCCUGGGCAGGCUCUUCUGAGGACUUGUAAAGUGAGACUGCAGCGGCUCCAAGCCCUAUGGCGAGGAUCAAGUGAAGGAACACACGCAGGGCACUCAGGCCAGGGUCCCUCGUGGGGAGAGCUUAGUAGUAAAUCCUGAAUGUCGCCAUGUGGGCCCAAAGUCCCCCACCACGCAUAUUCUCUACACUGUGUUUGAAAACUCAAAAAACUGGAGAGGAACCAAACAGGAGUUAAAAUGACCGUUACCAGUGAGGGCAGACAGGUGUGGACCUGCCCCGGAGAACAGCCCGAAGAGCUGCAGGAGGAAUCCGAAAAUUCCGCUUGAAAGCACAGGAGAACUGUCAGGUUCCAGGGGAGGAGAGAGCUGCGGAAAGACGGUCUGUUGUCUGGGGCAGAUGUGACCCUGGGGGCAUCUGUACUUUCUGAAAGUAGUGUCUCAGUGGCCGGGAAACUGAGCAAGUUUUCAACAGCGUCUGGAGGCUGGGAAGCAAAAACUCGAGUCAGAUUUUGAAAG